This 468-nucleotide ribosomal RNA is filed under the name uncultured bacterium. Its description in RNAcentral is "partial 16S ribosomal RNA". It matches the Rfam family "Bacterial small subunit ribosomal RNA", at positions 28 to 507 of the family's 1533-position model. The record is from RNAcentral.
GACGAACGCUGGCGGCGUGCUUAACACAUGCUAGUCGAACGGAAAGGCCCGGCUUGUGUGGGGUGCUCGAGUGGCGAACGGGUGAGUAACACGUGAGUAACCUGCCCUUGACUUUGGGAUAACUUCAGGAAACUGGGGCUAAUACCGGAUAGGAGCUCCUGCUGCAUGGUGGGGGUUGGAAAGUUUCGGCGGUUGGGGAUGGACUCGCGGCUUAUCAGCUUGUUGGUGGGGUAGUGGCUUACCAAGGCUUUGACGGGUAGCCGGCCUGCGAGGGUGACCGGCCACAUUGGGACUGAGAUACGGCCCAGACUCCUACGGGAGGCAGCAGUGGGGAAUAUUGCACAAUGGGCGGAAGCCUGAUGCAGCAACGCCGCGUGCGGGAUGACGGCCUUCGGGUUGUAAACCGCUUUCGCCUGUGACGAAGCGUGAGUGACGGUAAUGGGUAAAGAAGCACCGGCUAACUACGUG